Podarcis lilfordi (Lilford's wall lizard) is the source of this 80-nucleotide non-coding RNA. The record is from the annotation of a GenBank genome assembly. NCBI's taxonomy places the organism in Eukaryota, Metazoa, Chordata, Lepidosauria, Squamata, Lacertidae.
GGCUGAGAACAAGAUAGCUCAGUUGGUAGAGCAUGAGACUCUUACUCUUAGGGUCGUGGGUUAGAGCCCCACAUCGGGCA